GAGUUUGAUCCUGGCUCAGAACGAACGCUGGCGGCGUGGAUAAGACAUGCAAGUCGAACGAGAGAAUUGCUAGCUUGCUAAUAAUUCUCUAGUGGCGCACGGGUGAGUAACACGUGAGUAACCUGCCCCCGAGAGCGGGAUAGCCCUGGGAAACUGGGAUUAAUACCGCAUAGUAUCGAAAGAUUAAAGCAGCAAUGCGCUUGGGGAUGGGCUCGCGGCCUAUUAGUUAGUUGGUGAGGUAACGGCUCACCAAGGCGAUGACGGGUAGCCGGUCUGAGAGGAUGUCCGGCCACACUGGAACUGAGACACGGUCCAGACACCUACGGGUGGCAGCAGUCGAGAAUCAUUCACAAUGGGGGAAACCCUGAUGGUGCGACGCCGCGUGGGGGAAUGAAGGUCUUCGGAUUGUAAACCCCUGUCAUGUGGGAGCAAAUUAAAAAGAUAGUACCACAAGAGGAAGAGACGGCUAACUCUGUGCCAGCAGCCGCGGUAAUACAGAGGUCUCAAGCGUUGUUCGGAAUCACUGGGC
Molecule: ribosomal RNA, 529 nt
Filed under: uncultured bacterium
Lineage: Bacteria
Description: bacterial SSU rRNA
Rfam family: Bacterial small subunit ribosomal RNA
Source: RNAcentral